This 742-nucleotide ribosomal RNA is filed under the name Bacillus sp. 505(2010). RNAcentral describes it as "bacterial SSU rRNA". It matches the Rfam family "Bacterial small subunit ribosomal RNA", at positions 62 to 787 of the family's 1533-position model. The record is from RNAcentral. Lineage: Bacteria; Bacillati; Bacillota; Bacilli; Caryophanales; Bacillaceae.
UCGAGCGAAUCGAUGGGAGCUUGCUCCCUGAGAUUAGCGGCGGACGGGUGAGUAACACGUGGGCAACCUGCCUAUAAGACUGGGAUAACUUCGGGAAACCGGAGCUAAUACCGGAUACGUUCUUUUCUCGCAUGAGAGAAGAUGGAAAGACGGUUUACGCUGUCACUUAUAGAUGGGCCCGCGGCGCAUUAGCUAGUUGGUGAGGUAAUGGCUCACCAAGGCGACGAUGCGUAGCCGACCUGAGAGGGUGAUCGGCCACACUGGGACUGAGACACGGCCCAGACUCCUACGGGAGGCAGCAGUAGGGAAUCUUCCGCAAUGGACGAAAGUCUGACGGAGCAACGCCGCGUGAACGAAGAAGGCCUUCGGGUCGUAAAGUUCUGUUGUUAGGGAAGAACAAGUACCAGAGUAACUGCUGGUACCUUGACGGUACCUAACCAGAAAGCCACGGCUAACUACGUGCCAGCAGCCGCGGUAAUACGUAGGUGGCAAGCGUUGUCCGGAAUUAUUGGGCGUAAAGCGCGCGCAGGUGGUUCCUUAAGUCUGAUGUGAAAGCCCACGGCUCAACCGUGGAGGGUCAUUGGAAACUGGGGAACUUGAGUGCAGAAGAGGAAAGUGGAAUUCCAAGUGUAGCGGUGAAAUGCGUAGAGAUUUGGAGGAACACCAGUGGCGAAGGCGACUUUCUGGUCUGUAACUGACACUGAGGCGCGAAAGCGUGGGGAGCAAACAGGAUUAGAUACCC